GGAAGCUGUGCCUGAACAUUUAAGGAUUACUUUGAUAGAGUACACUACAGGGGCUAAACUCCCCUCACUUCCU
Molecule: transfer RNA, 73 nt
Filed under: Strophurus rankini (Exmouth spiny-tailed gecko)
Lineage: Eukaryota; Metazoa; Chordata; Lepidosauria; Squamata; Diplodactylidae
Description: tRNA-Ile
Source: RNAcentral